AUUUGCAAAUGAAAAGAAUUCCAUGAUGGACAAAUGAAUGAAUUCCUUUGUUUGCUAUAAUGUAUAUUAAAUAUAGAAUUCCUUUCAAAUGAAGUUAAUUAUGUUUGGCAUAAAUGUAGAAUUCAAUUCAAUAUUCUUUUUUUUCUUCAAAACUAUCCUUUUACAUCUACCACCACUAUCACUCUAACACUACCACCACCACCCUAUCACAACCACUCUGCCGCUGCCGCCACUCCACCACUGCAGCCACCACUUUACUAGACUGUUACCACACCUAAGAUGAGAUGAACAAGAAUCCUAAUUUACUAGACUUCACUCAAUGAACUGAGAUUUGCUGUACGUUCCAUUAUAAAACAUAAGAAAAGAAUAACAUUGAAAAAUUGCAUGAUGUGUUUUAAUCAACAUAUAUAAGAAUGAAGGCCUUCUUGCCACUGACAAAAGAUCCAGCAGGAAUCACCUUA
RNAcentral lists this unclassified non-coding RNA (461 nucleotides) under Hevea brasiliensis (rubber tree). The record is from RNAcentral. Lineage: Eukaryota; Viridiplantae; Streptophyta; Magnoliopsida; Malpighiales; Euphorbiaceae.